RNAcentral lists this ribosomal RNA (253 nucleotides) under uncultured bacterium. Its description in RNAcentral is "partial 16S ribosomal RNA". It matches the Rfam family "Bacterial small subunit ribosomal RNA", at positions 524 to 776 of the family's 1533-position model. The record is from RNAcentral.
GACGGAGGAUGCAAGUGUUAUCCGGAAUCACUGGGCGUAAAGCGUCUGUAGGUGGUUUAAUAAGUCAACUGUUAAAUCUUGAGGCUCAACCUCAAAAUCGCAGUCGAAACUAUUAGGCUAGAGUAUAGUAGGGGUAAAGGGAAUUUCCAGUGGAGCGGUGAAACGCGUAGAGAUUGGAAAGAACACCGAUGGCGAAGGCACUUUACUGGGCUAUUACUAACACUCAGAGACGAAAGCUAGGGUAGCAAAUGGG